RNAcentral lists this ribosomal RNA (458 nucleotides) under uncultured bacterium. RNAcentral describes it as "partial 16S ribosomal RNA". It matches the Rfam family "Bacterial small subunit ribosomal RNA", at positions 338 to 795 of the family's 1533-position model. The record is from RNAcentral.
CCUACGGGUGGCAGCAGUGAGGAAUAUUGGUCAAUGGGCGAGAGCCUGAACCAGCCAAGUCGCGUGAGGGAGUACUGCCCUAUGGGUUGUAAACCUCUUUUGUCGGGGAGCAAAAGCCGGACGUGUCCGGCUGUGAGAGUACCCGAAGAAAAAGCAUCGGCUAACUCCGUGCCAGCAGCCGCGGUAAUACGGAGGAUGCGAGCGUUAUCCGGAUUUAUUGGGUUUAAAGGGUGCGCAGGCGGAUUUUUAAGUCAGCGGUAAAAUCGUGGGGCUCAACUCCAUCCAGCCGUUGAAACUGGGGAUCUAGAGUGUGCGAGAGGUAUGCGGAAUGCGUGGUGUAGCGGUGAAAUGCAUAGAUAUCACGCAGAACCCCGAUUGCGAAGGCAGCAUACCGGUGCACAACUGACGCUCAGGCACGAAAGCGUGGGUAUCGAACAGGAUUAGAUACCCCAGUAGUC